GGGGUCUUAGCUCAGCUGGGAGAGCGCCUGCCUUGCACGCAGGAGGUCAGGGGUUCGAUCCCCCUAGACUCCACCA
Molecule: transfer RNA, 76 nt
Filed under: Flavisolibacter sp.
Lineage: Bacteria; Pseudomonadati; Bacteroidota; Chitinophagia; Chitinophagales; Chitinophagaceae
Also listed under: 5 other names
Description: tRNA-Ala
Rfam family: tRNA
About the family: Transfer RNA (tRNA) molecules are approximately 80 nucleotides in length. Their secondary structure includes four short double-helical elements and three loops (D, anti-codon, and T loops). Further hydrogen bonds mediate the characteristic L-shaped molecular structure. tRNAs have two regions of fundamental functional importance: the anti-codon, which is responsible for specific mRNA codon recognition, and the 3' end, to which the tRNAs corresponding amino acid is attached (by aminoacyl-tRNA synthetases). tRNAs cope with the degeneracy of the genetic code in two manners: having more than one tRNA (with a specific anti-codon) for a particular amino acid; and 'wobble' base-pairing, i.e. permitting non-standard base-pairing at the 3rd anti-codon position.
Source: RNAcentral